Molecule: long non-coding RNA, 390 nt
Filed under: Setaria italica (foxtail millet)
Lineage: Eukaryota; Viridiplantae; Streptophyta; Magnoliopsida; Poales; Poaceae
Description: long non-coding RNA (SITA_LNC001560)
Source: RNAcentral
GCGCAAAAAAGAGUGAUAAGAAAGUUUAGUCCUAUACCCUCCACCACAAACUCCUUAUCAUCAUCCAUCCGUGACCUCACCUCACCCCGACGACGGCGAGGAUGGGAACGCGUCCUUGACGGCGGAGGCGGCGGUGAGGUAGUUGAGGGUGUUGCGCAGCGUGUCCCGCUCCCUGCGCAGCCUUGCGGCGGUGUCCUCGAGCUCGAGCAGCGCCUGCUGCUCCCGGGGCGCGCCCUCGAAGGUGUUGCCGACGUAGAAGGAGAAGGGCGUGGGGAAGAGGCCCCUGCGCAGGUCGCCCACCUCCUUCUCGGGCUUGCCGUUGAGUCGGUUGGCGAUUCGUAUGACGUCCCGCAUGAGGGCCUCGACGUCGGCGGCGAGCGCCUCGGCAUC